Molecule: unclassified non-coding RNA, 297 nt
Organism: Callithrix jacchus (white-tufted-ear marmoset)
Lineage: Eukaryota; Metazoa; Chordata; Mammalia; Primates; Cebidae
Rfam family: Metazoan signal recognition particle RNA
About the family: The signal recognition particle (SRP) is a universally conserved ribonucleoprotein.
Source: Ensembl
GCUGGGUGCGGUGACGCAUGCCUGUAGACCCAGCUACUCGGGAGGCUGAGGCUGGAGGAUGGCUUGAGCCCAGGAGUUCUGGGCGGUAGUGUGCUAUGACGAUUGGGUGUCCGUGCUAAGUUCAGCAUCAAUAUGGUGACCUCCCGGGAGCAAGGAACCACCAGGUUGCCUAAGGAGGGGUGAACCGGCCCAGGCUGAAGCAGAGCAGGUCAAAACUCCCGUGCUGAUCAGUAGUGGGAUCGUGCCUGUGAAUAGCCACUGCACUCCAGCCUGGGCAACAUAGAGACUCCGUCUCAA